UUACAACUUUGACAAGGUAAUGUAUCUGUACAAAAGGCUGUCUAUCAGCAGUGAUUGUUAGAGUGCAUGUAGGAGAAUAGCGCGGCCACGCGUACCACCUUGGCGGAAAAGUAAGAGAAAGUAGAA
This is a long non-coding RNA of Etheostoma spectabile (orangethroat darter), 126 nucleotides long. RefSeq lists it as uncharacterized. The transcript is spliced from 3 exons. The record is from RefSeq and is a predicted model, not a curated record. Lineage: Eukaryota; Metazoa; Chordata; Actinopteri; Perciformes; Percidae.